GGAGGAAAAGAAACCAACAGGGAUUGCCUUAGUAGCGGCGAGUGAAGCGGCAAAAGCUCAAAUUUGAAAUCUGGCACUUUCAGUGUCCGAGUUGUAAUUUGAAGAAGGUAUCUUUGGGUCUGGCUCUUGUCUAUGUUUCUUGGAACAGAACGUCACAGAGGGUGAGAAUCCCGUGCGAUGAGAUGUCCCAGACCUAUGUAAAGUUCCUUCGAAGAGUCGAGUUGUUUGGGAAUGCAGCUCUAAGUGGGUGGUAAAUUCCAUCUAAAGCUAAAUAUUGGCGAGAGACCGAUAGCGAACAAGUACAGUGAUGGAAAGAUGAAAAGAACUUUGAAAAGAGAGUGAAAAAGUACGUGAAAUUGUUGAAAGGGAAGGGCUUGAGAUCAGACUUGGUAUUUUGUAUGUUACUCUCUCGGGGGUGGCCUCUACAGUUUACCGGGCCAGCAUCAGUUUGAGCGGUAGGAUAAGUGCAAAGAAAUGUGGCACUGCUUCGGUAGUGUGUUAUAGUCUUUGUCGAUACUGCCAGCUUAGACUGAGGACUGCGGCUUCGGCCUAGGAUGUUGGCAUAAUGAUCUUAAGUCGCCCGU
This 584-nucleotide ribosomal RNA is filed under the name Lodderomyces parapsilosis. Its description in RNAcentral is "eukaryotic LSU rRNA". It matches the Rfam family "Eukaryotic large subunit ribosomal RNA", at positions 52 to 652 of the family's 3401-position model. The record is from RNAcentral. Lineage: Eukaryota; Fungi; Ascomycota; Pichiomycetes; Serinales; Debaryomycetaceae.